AGAGUUUGAUCUUGGCUCAGAUUGAACGCUGGCGGCGUGCCUAACACAUGCAAGUCGAGCGGUAACAGGUGUAGCAAUACAUGCUGACGAGCGGCGAACGGGUGAGUAUGCUUCGGAAUCUUCCCAGUAGUGGGGAAAAACUAGCCGAAAGGUUAGCUAAUACCGCAUACGUCCUACGGGAGAAAGCAGGGGAUCGCAAGACCUUGCGCUAUUGGAUGAGCCGAAGUCGGAUUAGCUAGUUGGUGAGGUAACGGCUCACCAAGGCGACAAUCCGUAGCUGGUCUGAGAGGACGACCAGCCACACUGGGACUGAGACACGGCCCAGACUCCUACGGGAGGCAGCAGUGGGGAAUAUUGGACAAUGGGGGAAACCCUGAUCCAGCGACGCCGCGUGUGUGAAGAAGGCCUGCGGGUUGUAAAGCACUUUUAGUGGGGAUGAAAAGCCAAAGGCUAAUACCUUUUGGUCUUGACCUAACCCACAGAAAAAGCACCGGCUAACUCUGUGCCAGCAGCCGCGGUAAUACAGAGGGUGCAAGCGUUAAUCGGAAUUACUGGGCGUAAAGCGUGCGUAGACGGUUAUGUAAGUCAGAUGUGAAAGCCCCGGGCUCAACCUGGGGAUUGCAUUUGAGACUGCAUAGCUAGGGUGCGGAAGAGGGAAGCGGAAUUUCCGGUGUAGCGGUGAAAUGCGUAGAUAUCGGAAGGGACACCAGUGGCGAAAGCGGCUUCCUGGUCCAGCACCGACGUUCAGGCACGAAAGCGUGGGGAGCAAACAGGAUUAGAUACCCUGGUAGUCCACGCCAUAAACGAUGAGGACUAGACGUUGAGAGGGUAAGCCUCCCAGUGUCGCAGCUAACGCGAUAAGUCCUCCGCCUGGGGAGUACGGCCGCAAGGUGAAACUCAAAGAAUUGACGGA
RNAcentral lists this ribosomal RNA (913 nucleotides) under uncultured Gammaproteobacteria bacterium. RNAcentral's name for it is "bacterial SSU rRNA". It matches the Rfam family "Bacterial small subunit ribosomal RNA", at positions 8 to 917 of the family's 1533-position model. Lineage: Bacteria; Pseudomonadati; Pseudomonadota; Gammaproteobacteria. The record is from RNAcentral.